Molecule: ribosomal RNA, 429 nt
Filed under: Bacillota bacterium
Lineage: Bacteria; Bacillati; Bacillota
Description: Firmicutes bacterium partial 16S ribosomal RNA
Rfam family: Bacterial small subunit ribosomal RNA
Source: RNAcentral
UAGGGAAUCUUCGGCAAUGGACGGAAGUCUGACCGAGCAACGCCGCGUGAGUGAAGAAGGUUUUCGGAUCGUAAAGCUCUGUUGUUAGAGAAGAACGUUGGUAGGAGUGGAAAAUCUACCAAGUGACGGUAACUAACCAGAAAGGGACGGCUAACUACGUGCCAGCAGCCGCGGUAAUACGUAGGUCCCGAGCGUUGUCCGGAUUUAUUGGGCGUCAAGCGAGCGCAGGCGGUUCUUUAAGUCUGAAGUUAAAGGCAGUGGCUUCACCAUUGUACGCUUUGGAAACGGGAGGACUUGAGUGCAGAAGGGGAGAGUGGAAUUCCAUGUGUAGCGGUGAACUGCGUAGCUAUAUGGAGGACCACCGGUGGCGAAAGCGGCUCUCUGGUCUGUAACUGACGCUGAGGCUCGAAAGCGUGGGGAGCAAACAGG